AAUUCUCAGUCUCUCUUUUUUCUUUAUUGAAAUGAGAGAAUGGAUUGUGGAAGUUGCUUGUUCUUUUGCUUGCAAUAAGUCCAGCUCUUCUCAAAUGCAUUAGCAGAAGUUUCCUUGCUAACUGUUCUUGAUAUGAUAAAACAUUUUCCAUGUCUUUGAAAACGUUGGCUCUCCUCACAUCUGCUUCCAAACUGUCUUGCAUUUCAAGACAAUCAGAGAUGUACUUCUCAAA
RNAcentral lists this unclassified non-coding RNA (232 nucleotides) under uncultured Agaricomycetes. RNAcentral's name for it is "sequence contains ITS2". Lineage: Eukaryota; Fungi; Basidiomycota; Agaricomycetes. The record is from RNAcentral.